RNAcentral lists this ribosomal RNA (492 nucleotides) under uncultured bacterium. Its description in RNAcentral is "partial 16S ribosomal RNA". It matches the Rfam family "Bacterial small subunit ribosomal RNA", at positions 29 to 507 of the family's 1533-position model. The record is from RNAcentral.
AGUGAACGCUGGCGGUAGGCCUAACACAUGCAAGUCGAACGGCAGCACAGUAAGAGCUUGCUCUUACGGGUGGCGAGUGGCGGACGGGUGAGGAAUACAUCGGAAUCUACUUUUUCGUGGGGGAUAACGUAGGGAAACUUACGCUAAUACCGCAUACGACCUACGGGUGAAAGCAGGGGAUCUUCGGACCUUGCGCGAUUGAAUGAGCCGAUGUCGGAUUAGCUAGUUGGCGGGGUAAAGGCCCACCAAGGCGACGAUCCGUAGCUGGUCUGAGAGGAUGAUCAGCCACACUGGAACUGAGACACGGUCCAGACUCCUACGGGAGGCAGCAGUGGGGAAUAUUGGACAAUGGGCGCAAGCCUGAUCCAGCCAUACCGCGUGGGUGAAGAAGGACUUCGGGUUGUAAAGCCCUUUUGUUGGGAAAGAAAAGCAGCAGGUUAAUACCCCGCUGUUCUGACGGUACCCAAAGAAUAAGCACCGGCUAACUUCGUG